This 108-nucleotide ribosomal RNA is filed under the name Neobacillus paridis. Lineage: Bacteria; Bacillati; Bacillota; Bacilli; Caryophanales; Bacillaceae. The record is from RNAcentral.
GAUGGCGAGAAGGUCACACCCGUUCCCAUACCGAACACGGAAGUUAAGCUUCUCAGCGCCGAUGGUAGUUGGGGCACGCGCCCCUGUGAGAGUAGGACGCUGCCGGGC